UACCCACUCCCGGCACGGGGAGGUAGUGACGAAAAAUAACGAUACGGGACUCAUCCGAGGCCCCGUAAUCGGAAUGAGUACACUCUAAACACGUUCCCGAAAAUCAAUUGGAGGGUAAGUCUGGUGCCAGCAGCCGCGGUAAUUCCAGCUCCAAUAGCGUAUAUUAAAGUUGUUGCGGUUAAAAAGCUCGUAGUCGAAUCUGUGUCCCGCGCCGCCGGUUCAUCGCUCGCGGUGUUCAACUGGCGUGUCUCGCGGGACGUCCUGCCGGUGGGAUCACGUAUCGUUUCGGCGGUGCGUCUCCCAACUCGUCUCCGCCUUGCGCGGUUGCGAAUCCCAUCGCGGUGCUCUUUAUUGAGUGUCGAGGUGGGCCGGCACGUUUACUUUGAACAAAUUAGAGUGCUUAAAGCAGGCCAGUUUUGCCUGAAUAUUCUGUGCAUGGAAUAAUGGAAUAGGACCUCGGUUCUAUUUUGUUGGUUUUCGGAACCCCGAGGUAAUGAUUAAUAGGAACGGAUGGGGGCAUUCGUAUUGCGACGUUAGAGGUGAAAUUCUUGGAUCGUCGCAAGACGGACAGAAGCGAAAGCAUUUGCCAAAAACGCUUUCAUUGAUCAAGAACGAAAGUUAGAGGCUCGAAGGCGAUCAGAUACCGCCCUAGUUCUAACCAUAAACGAUGCCAGCUAGCGAUCCGCCGACGUUCCUCCGAUGACUCGGCGGGCAGCUUCCGGGAAACCAAAGCUUUUGGGUUCCGGGGGAAGUAUGGUUGCAAAGCUGAAACUUAAAGGAAUUGACGGAAGGGCACCACCAGGAGUGGAGCCUGCGGCUUAAUUUGACUCAACACGGGUAACCUCACCAGGUCCAGACACCGGAAGGAUUGACAGAUUGAGAGCUCUUUCUUGAUUCGGUGGGUGGUGGUGCAUGGCCGUUCUUAGU
This 927-nucleotide ribosomal RNA is filed under the name Pella humeralis. RNAcentral's name for it is "SSU rRNA". It matches the Rfam family "Eukaryotic small subunit ribosomal RNA", at positions 442 to 1298 of the family's 1831-position model. The record is from RNAcentral. Lineage: Eukaryota; Metazoa; Arthropoda; Insecta; Coleoptera; Staphylinidae.